GACGAACGCUGGCGGCGUGCUUAACACAUGCAAGUCGAACGGAAAGGCCCUGCUUUCGUGGUGUGCUCGAGUGGCGAACGGGUGAGUAACACGUGAGUAACCUGCCCUUGACUUUGGGAUAACUUCAGGAAACUGGGUCUAAUACCGGAUAGGAGCUCCUGCUGCAUGGUGGGGGUUGGAAAGUUUCGGCGGUUGGGGAUGGACUCGCGGCUUAUCAGCUUGUUGGUGGGGUAGUGGCUUACCAAGGCUGUGACGGGUAGCCGGCCUGAGAGGGUGACCGGCCACAUUGGGACUGAGAUACGGCCCAGACUCCUACGGGAGGCAGCAGUGGGGAAUAUUGCACAAUGGGCGGAAGCCUGAUGCAGCAACGCCGCGUGCGGGAUGACGGCCUUCGGGUUGUAAACCGCUUUCGCCUGUGACGAAGCGUGAGUGACGGUAAUGGGUAAAGAAGCACCGGCUAACUACGUG
This 468-nucleotide ribosomal RNA is filed under the name uncultured bacterium. RNAcentral's name for it is "partial 16S ribosomal RNA". It matches the Rfam family "Bacterial small subunit ribosomal RNA", at positions 28 to 507 of the family's 1533-position model. The record is from RNAcentral.